UUGACUUCUGGAGGAACAGGAGUAAACAACCCUGUUUACAUCCUGGGAGAAGAGGUGGAGGAAUACCAGCACCACGGAGUUCAGCUGGACAACAGACUGGACUGAAAAUCCCUCAGAAGCUUCUAGAAGAAAGACCAGAACAGACUCCUGAGAUCCUUCAGUCUCCGAACCAAGAUGUGUCAGAUCUUCUAUCAGCCUGUGGUGGAGAGGUCUCUCGGCUCUGCAGCGUCCUCCUACAGAACCAAAGACUUCUGGUUCUAUCGGGAUCCAGAGGUUCUGGUUCUGUUCUGGGGCACGUCCUCUACACAACCCAGUGAGGAGGGUUCAGUCGGAUACAGGAGGUCAUACCUGCUACAAAGCCAUUUCCUUCUGGCACUGAUGGCAUAUUUUUCCUUUCAUUUCAUAAUCCCUCACUACCAGGAAACACUCCUCUGUGUGGAAGCACCCACAGCAGCUAGAAGGAACCUGUGGACUUCCUCUAAAGUCUAACGACAUCCAGCCCUGGCAGGAACCCUGAAAGGCUCUCCGGUGCUGUGGGCUCAGGCCGACCGUCCAAUCCUUGGUGGUGGUCCGUGACUUCCCUUGUUUGCUGUGUACGUGAGUGUGAGUGAUAACUCGGGGCCUGCCCCUGAAGGUGUUUUCAGCCUCUGGCCACUGAUGGUUCAUGCACCCGGACCGUCUGCAUCCUCAGCAGCUUGCUCAGUGUGGUUGAGACCGGGGAUACCCAGAAAAGAAGCCAAACACAGUCACCAGCAUGAAGUGCGGUGUGGAUGUGAUGGACCAGAGGGGUGCAGGAGAGACGGCUGGACUUCCUGGUGGAGUUUGCAAGUGAACUUGCUCAGUCGCAUGUGGGAGCCAAGAAGGCAAAUAAGGACAAACUUCUUCUGCAGCAACCUCCCACACCUGCAAGGGAAAAGGGUAACGUGUCAGACAAUGCAGACAAAGUGCUGAAACGCCGGUCAAACACACAAACAAGGACCUGCCACCAUCCAAGCAUCGGGUGUUUUUAUCCACAUGCUGCGCAGGUUUGUGUGUAUGUGUAUGUUCUUGUAGUCAUUUCUAAGAAAAUGAACAUGUCUUUCUAAUAAAACAGGCCAAUAAUUUCUCUUUCAUUAUGAGCUCAACUGUAGCCGGAAAUUUGUGAGAACUAUGUUUUGAAAUCAGUACAAAAAAAAGAAGAAGCUUGCCAUGUGAGAAGUGUGAGCAUGGAUAACAUGGAUGCACAUUUCACCGGCUAGAAAUCACUCUUGAUGAUCACAAUACAGUUUCACACGGAGUGAGUAUCUACAAAUGUUA
Melanotaenia boesemani (Boeseman's rainbowfish) is the source of this 1296-nucleotide long non-coding RNA. RefSeq lists it as uncharacterized. Lineage: Eukaryota; Metazoa; Chordata; Actinopteri; Atheriniformes; Melanotaeniidae. The transcript is spliced from 5 exons. The record is from RefSeq and is a predicted model, not a curated record.